CAUUAGGGAAUCUUACACAAUGGACGAAAUUCUGAUGGAGCAACGCCGCGUGAGUGAAGAAGGGUUUCGGCUCGUAAAACUCUGUUGUUAAAGAAGAACAUAUCUGAGAGUAACUGUUCAGGUAUUGACGGUAUUUAACCAGAAAGCCACGGCUAACUACGUGCCAG
This 167-nucleotide ribosomal RNA is filed under the name uncultured bacterium. RNAcentral describes it as "partial 16S rRNA". It matches the Rfam family "Bacterial small subunit ribosomal RNA", at positions 352 to 511 of the family's 1533-position model. The record is from RNAcentral.